AUACAUAUAAAAGAAACCUGAUUAUAACCUAUACGGGGCUGUUCCAAUCAUCAUAGAAGCAUCUGGAGAGCGUGAGACCAUCCUCUCGAGUGCCUCCAAGAAAUGAUUUAACCACACACAGGAGCUGCCUGAGAAAGCACUGAGAAGGAGGACAAACAGCAAUGGCGUUUUAUCUCCCCUGGUGGGACUAGAAACAGCUUGACAGCAUGGCCCUGUCUGCUGUUUCUUUGUGCCCCUCACGGAGUAUAUAUAACUAAACAGAUGAGGAAGGAAGAGGGCUCCAGGGAACCUGUGGUGAGGUCGCCCGCAAUCUGUCCUCACCGGUCGGUCGGGGCAGAGAAAGUUGUCGCCUCUGCUCCGCUGUGGGGAGGCUGUGGGAUUUUGCAGCUAUUUGAAUGAUUAAAUGGAAUGUCCUGGAUGGAUGAGAAGGAAUGACUACAAGCACAUGACCUGGCUUGGGAUCUUUACAGAAAUGCUGAUGUGAAGAGGGAGGCAAGAGUGAUUCGCUUUCUAGACUGCACAUUCUCCUUGGGCCACUGGUCUAGCAUCCUGUUUAAGGUCGCCAGUCAACUGACCACCCCCCUCACCUUCUCCCAGCGCCCCGCACCCCUCCUGCACUCUCCCUCAGGGAAAGUCUCCGGCUACGGCAUUUACAUUUACGUUGGGAACCACACACUCUGCAUUUUAAUGAUAGGAAAGCACUUAUGUCUUUUUCUCUAAUGAUUUAAUAGUCUGUCUUCCCAACCAGAUUGUAAAACUCUCCAGGGCAUGGAAUACCAUCCACUGGCUCAAUUGCUGAGCUUCUGGCUGCCCUGCACUCAGGACGACAGAAGAGCUAGAAUUGACUGUGUGCUCCAGGGAGGGGACCACGCUUCACAAGUCAGAUGCAGCAUCUCCAGGAGCUCAGAAGGCAGCCAGCUUGCACUUUCUGCCUGAUUCCUACAAUGACCCAGUGAGGCAGGAGGAGUGAGCAGCAGUUUUUGACGCUAAGGAAACUGAGGCGUAGCAAGGUUAACACACUUGCCCCAAAGCACUAAGAAAGGGGCAGAGCCAGAAUUCAAACUUCAGUCUACCUUAAAAACCCGUACUCUUAACUACCAUAUUAAUAAGCAAAACUGAAGUAGAGCUGUAAGAUUACCGAGUACAGCAGUCGGCCCACAUCUUGGGGGAGGCGUUCCAGGACCCCCAGUGGAUGCUGGAAACCUCGGAUAGCGCCGAAACCUAUAAAUACUGUUUUUUCCUGCACAUACACACCUAUGAUAAAGUUUAACGUAUAAAUUAGGCACUGUAAGAGAUUAACAACAAUAACUAAUAAUAAAGUUGACUUUGGGGCCAUUAUGAAGUGAAAUAACAGUUACUUGAACGCAAGUGCUGUGGCACAGUGACUGUCUAUCCGACAAUCGAGAAGACGACUAAGCGACCGUUGGACAGGAAGCAGAUAGAGCAGGGAUCUGCUGGACGAAGGGAUGAUCCACGUCCCAGUUGCAGGCCGUCUGUACCUACCAAGAGGGUCCCGGAGUUGGUAUGAACUGUAAGGCCUGCAGUCCAGGAAAUGAGGAUCUCGAAGGUGCUGGAGUCUCAGUCGACAGCUCUCAGGGGAAGAGGAAAGAAAAGAUAGGAACUACAAUCUGGCUGGGCGGGAGAUUGAAGCUGUAUUUACACAGCAGUGUUCUUAAGACUGAGGAAUCACUAAAUGGGCUCAGUUGAUGGAGAUUGAGUGAUACUCUCAUUCAACUUGGGGCCUCAACCAUUCUUCUUCCUCCCUUCCGAACUGACCGAUGAAUUUGAGCCGGCUAUGGUAUUUGGCGACAUGAGCACAGCGGUUUACAGGGAAGUUACACAGAGUCUCUUGUUUGGCUGCGGUGGUGGCCAUACUUGGAGAGAAGUCUCGGGGCUCCCCUAUGCCACCACCUGCCCCAACUCACACACUCUCAGUUCUCCAUAGGAAAUUCACCACUUUAUGGCCUCGCAUAAAAGUGCCAUUCUGAAUAAACACAAAAG
RNAcentral lists this long non-coding RNA (2001 nucleotides) under Equus caballus (horse). RNAcentral describes it as "lncRNA (ENSECAG00000048162.1)". Lineage: Eukaryota; Metazoa; Chordata; Mammalia; Perissodactyla; Equidae. The record is from RNAcentral.